Molecule: long non-coding RNA, 997 nt
Filed under: Homo sapiens (human)
Lineage: Eukaryota; Metazoa; Chordata; Mammalia; Primates; Hominidae
Description: HSALNT0408603
Source: RNAcentral
CUCUCAGGUGACCCGCUUUCUCAGCAUGAGGAAGCUUAUUCUAUCUCUCUUCCUUUUUGUCUGUUAAACUUUCUGCUCCUUAACCCACUCCACGUGUGUGUCCAUGUUGUUAAUCAUCGGCGCGAGACAACUAACUACAGGUAUUGCCCCAGAGGAAGUGGUUUCACUUUGAAUGGUUUGGCACUAUUGUCAAAUAUCAUACUUGUUAUAAGUCUUUGCAGAUUUUCUAUUUAUUCUUGAGUCAGUUUUGGUAGUUUGUGUGUUUGUAGGAAUUGUUUUUCAAUGUAUUAGGGCAUCUAAUUUGUUGAAAUACAAUGUUCAUAGUAUUUUCUUAUAAUCCUUUUUAUUUCUGUCAAAUCAGUGGUAACAUCCCCUCUUCUUUUUCUAAAAAAAUAAUUUCAGCUUUUAUUUUUGAUUCAGGGGAUACAUGUGCAGGUUUGUUACAUGAGUAUAUUGCAUGAUGUUGAGGUUUGAGAUCUGAAUGGUCCUGUCAUCCGGAUGGGAUACUAGUGAACAUAGUACCCAACAGUUAGUUUUUCAACCCUUGCCCCCUUCCCUACCUCCCCCCAUCAGUCCCUAGUGCCUAUUAUUGCCAUCUUUAUGUCCAUGAGUACCCAAUGUUUAGCUACCACUAUAAGUGAGUACAUGCAGUAUUUGGUGUUCUGUUCCUAUGUUAAUUAACUUAGGAUAAUGGCCUCCAGCUGCAUCCUUGUUGCUGCAAAGGACAUGAUUUCAUUCUUUUUAUGUCUGCACGGUAUGCCACGGUGUAUGUGUGCCACAUUUUCUUUAUCCAGUCCACCAUUGAUAGGCACCUAGGUUGAUUCCAUGUCUUCACUACAGUGAAUAUUGCUGUGAUGAAUAUAUGAGUGAAUGUGUCUUUUUGGUAGAACAGUUUAUUUUCUUUUGGAUGUAUGCCAGUAAUGGGAUUGCUGGGUCAAAUGAUAAUUCUGUUUUAAGUUCUUUGAGAAUUCUCCAAAUUGCUCUCCAAAGUGGCUGA